GAUGAACGCUGGCGGCGUGCCUAAUACAUGCAAGUCGAGCGAACGGACGAGAAGCUUGCUUCUCUGAUGUUAGCGGCGGACGGGUGAGUAACACGUGGAUAACCUACCUAUAAGACUGGGAUAACUUCGGGAAACCGGAGCUAAUAGCGGAGAAUAUUUUGAACCGCAUGGUUCAAAAGUGAAAGACGGUCUUGCUGUCACUUAUAGAUGGAUCCGCGCUGCAUUAGCUAGUUGGUAAGGUAACGGCUUACCAAGGCAACGAUGCAUAGCCGACCUGAGAGGGUGAUCGGCCACACUGGAACUGAGACACGGUCCAGACUCCUACGGGAGGCAGCAGUAGGGAAUCUUCCGCAAUGGGCGAAAGCCUGACGGAGCAACGCCGCGUGAGUGAUGAAGGUCUUCGGAUCGUAAAACUCUGUUAUUAGGGAAGAACAUAUGUGUAAGUAACUGUGCACAUCUUGACGGUACCUAAUCAGAAAGCCACGGCUAACUACGUG
Molecule: ribosomal RNA, 497 nt
Filed under: uncultured bacterium
Lineage: Bacteria
Description: partial 16S ribosomal RNA
Rfam family: Bacterial small subunit ribosomal RNA
Source: RNAcentral